UACGUAGGGGGCUAGCGUUGUCCGGAAUCAUUGGGCGUAAAGCGCGUGUAGGCGGUCCGGUAAGUCCGCUGUGAAAGUCGGGGGCUCAACCCUCGGAUGCCGGUGGAUACUGUCGGGCUUGAGUACGGAAGAGGCGAGUGGAACUCCUGGUGUAGCGGUGGAAUGCGCAGAUAUCAGGAAGAACACCGACGGCGAAGGCAGCUCGCUGGGACGGUACUGACGCUGAGGCGCGAAAGCGUGGGGAGCGAACAGG
Molecule: ribosomal RNA, 253 nt
Filed under: uncultured bacterium
Lineage: Bacteria
Description: partial 16S ribosomal RNA
Rfam family: Bacterial small subunit ribosomal RNA
Source: RNAcentral